UACGGGGGGAGCAAGCGUUGUUCGGAUUUACUGGGCGUAAAGGGCGCGUAGGCGGCCACCGCAAGUCGACUGUGAAAUCUCCGGGCUUAACCCGGAAAGGUCAGCCGAUACUGCGGGGCUAGAGUGCAGAAGGGGCAACUGGGAAUUCUCGGUGUAGCGGUGAAAUGCGUAGGAUAUCGAGAGGAACACCUGCGGCGAAGGCGGGUUGCUGGGCUGACACUGACGCUGAGGCGCGAAAGCUAGGGGAGCGAACGGG
Molecule: ribosomal RNA, 256 nt
Filed under: uncultured bacterium
Lineage: Bacteria
Description: partial 16S ribosomal RNA
Rfam family: Bacterial small subunit ribosomal RNA
Source: RNAcentral